This 826-nucleotide ribosomal RNA is filed under the name Microkayla condoriri. RNAcentral's name for it is "partial 12S ribosomal RNA". It matches the Rfam family "Bacterial small subunit ribosomal RNA", at positions 9 to 1353 of the family's 1533-position model. The record is from RNAcentral. Lineage: Eukaryota; Metazoa; Chordata; Amphibia; Anura; Craugastoridae.
AUGCUGAGAUGGACCCUAAAACCCCCCUUUAAGCACAAAGGCUUGGUCCUAGCCUUAAAAUCAAUUUUUACUUAAUUUACACAUGCAAGUCUCUACACCCCCGUGAAAACGCCCUUAAACCCCUUCAGGGAUAAGGAGCUGGUAUCAGGCACAAUAACUUGCCCAAAACACCUAGCUAUGCCACACCCACAAGGGCUAACAGCAGUGAUCAAUAUUAAACAUGAACGCCAGUUUGAUUUAGUUAAAGUAAAUAGAGCCGGCAAAACUGGUGCCAGCCGCCGCGGUUACACCAUGCGACUCAAAUUGAUUAAUACCGGCGUAAAGCGUGAUUAAAGCCUAAAAUAUUUUUAGGGUUAAAACUAGAUUAAGCCGUGACAUGCUUAUCUAUUAAGAAACUCAUAAACGAAAGUUGCCCUAAUUUAACCGACCUGAAUUCACGAUAGCUAGGGUCCAAACUGGGAUUAGAUACCCCAUUAUGCCUAGCCCUAAACUUUAACUUACACCUCCCACACGCCAGGGGACUACGAGCAACGCUUAAAACCCAAAGGACUUGACGGUACCCCACAUCCACCUAGAGGAGCCUGUCCUAUAAUUGAUGACCCCCGCUAAACCUUACCAUUUUUUGCCUGUCAGCUUGUAUACUUCCGUCUUCAGCUUACCUCGUGAGCGUAACUCAGUGAGCUUAACGCCAACUCCGCCAAUAAGUCAGGUCAAAGUGCAGCUAAUAAAGUGGAAAGAGAUGGGCUACACUCUCUAACCUAGAGGAUACGAAAGACUAUGCUGAAAUCAUACCAAAAGGCGGAUUUAGAAGUAAAAAGGAAACAAA